This is a long non-coding RNA of Patiria miniata (bat star), 191 nucleotides long. RefSeq lists it as uncharacterized. The transcript is spliced from 3 exons. Lineage: Eukaryota; Metazoa; Echinodermata; Asteroidea; Valvatida; Asterinidae. The record is from RefSeq and is a predicted model, not a curated record.
CAACAUUUGAGUUACAUGUUCUGGGUUGCAUCAAAGAAUACACCACUCAGCCGACGACAAGAACCACCAGUGUCACCACCACUCUGAUAACCACGACUCCUCCCUCAUCAACAACCCAAGGGUACUGUCUGGAAUCCAUGGAUAGCGAGUCUGGACUUUUGUCGGAUGUCAGAGGUAGAGGUUCAGUGUUG